Anopheles arabiensis is the source of this 1586-nucleotide long non-coding RNA. RefSeq lists it as uncharacterized. Lineage: Eukaryota; Metazoa; Arthropoda; Insecta; Diptera; Culicidae. The record is from RefSeq and is a predicted model, not a curated record. The transcript has 4 exons.
GUCAAAGUGCGUAAACAAAGUGUAAGGUUGGCCAUGCGGAUAAGCAUCAAAUAAUUUGUGAUUUUAGUGUAAAAUAGCCAUGGAAUAUUGAGAAACGCACCGGCCCAUGGAUUAUUCAUCGGUGGGAGGAGGUUUUCAUCUGUGUUUAUGUAUGUGGGUGAAUGCUGACGGUAUGUGUGCCGAGCUUGGAUAGGAUAGCACUGUAAACAGCAUUACAUUUGUGCAUCCAACGGAGACGCAUCAUAUUUAUUGCUGGUCGUCACUCAACGAAAUGACGUGAUAGUAUAGUGCAGCGAGAAUACAAUCAGAUGGGAAGUAUUAUUUACAUUAUACCACUCAUAUGUACCCAUCUACAUUUCUUAAUUAUACAAUUUUUUCACAGGAAACAGAUAAUACUUCCGGUAGUUGCGAUUGACACAUACGGUCAUACAGCGUGUUAUUAAUGGAAAAAGGAAACAUCGUGAAAUUGUACAAGGAUUCUCGUAAAAACUAAGAAAGUCAUCAUUUUAUUACGAUAUUUCGCACCGGCAUCACCCGUGUAUGGUUGUGUGUGUGUGUGUUAGUGAUUGCCAAAACGGCUCCAAAGCCAUCUCUGAUCGGCUCCAGGUAAUUUCGAAGUUUCACUACUUUUCAUAUUUUACUACAACUUAAUUACAUUCCGCAUUAUGCAACAGAUUUUCCUGUUUGAAACUUUAUUGGAAAGGAAUUGUUUCGGAGCACUGUGCUGCUUUGGAUCCUUUUUGUGCAGUCGUUGGUUCGAAACCGGCCCGGAGCCGGCUACGGAGCCGUGGGUGCAAAGCCGACUCUGGAGCCAGGUAGGAGCCUCCGAAAUGCCCGUCACUAGUGUGUGCAUGUGUGUGAGAAUGCCUAAGGAAUUUGCGCGGGAGAAAUGAUAUGUGUGGAUUUUCAAAUUGAGUCACAAUGAAAUGUAAAAAUAAUACAUGCAUGAUACUGAUGUACGUUGCAGUUGCCACAACAAUCAAGAAUGGCGGCUGUGAACAACUAGAACAUCCGCGCAUACUCAACUGGACCAAAACACUUUCCGCUGACACACUUGAAGCAAACCAACAUUGCCACACACCACAAAAUAACAGGAAAAGGAAAGUAAUACAAAAUAUGUUGAUUUACGCAUUCUAAUCUUUUCUAUUUCUUUUUUUACUGCAAACAGGGGACAUUGUAUCACCGAAUCUGCAAGUGGAGUUUAUGUACGGAAAGUGCUGUGAAGAAGCGUUUUGUGCGGUGUGUUUCGUUGUAUUUCUAUCUACAAGAUAUGCAUCAACAAUUAAUUAGUGCGUUAAAUCGUGUGUGAUUCAACAAUCGAUAGCUUUACCCGAGCAUUACAAGCGGCAACAAUACAUGUGCCUGGCGCAGAGACAACAACGCCGUCGGCAUCCGUUGAUACCAUCCAAAGUGAUGGUUGAAAUCGUAUUUAAACGUGUAAAACCAUGUAUUGGGUCAUGUAAGUAUUGAAUAAUAGCUAAAUAAAAUACAUUUUAUCGUUGUACUGGACAAUGUGCAUCGAAAUUUAAAAAAAAGUGUGUGUGUUUUUGUUUACAUCCGAAUACAGAACCCACAGUGCUAUACUG